AGAAUCUUUCGCAAUGCCCGAAAGGGUGACGAAGCGACGCCGCGUGUGGGAAGAAGGCCUUCGGGUUGUAAACCACUGUCGGGAGUUAAGAAAUGUAAGGAUGUUAAUAGCGUCCUUACUUGACUAAGGCUCCGGAGGAAGCCACGGCUAACUCUGUGCCAGCAGCCGCGGUAAUACAGAGGCGGCAAGCGUUGUUCGGAAUUAUUGGGCGUAAAGAGCACGUAGGCGGCCUUGAAAGUCAGUUGUGAAAGCCUUCUGCUUAACGGAAGAACAGCAUCUGAUACUACAGGGCUUGAGUGCAGGAGGGGAGAGUGGAACUUCUGGUGGAGCGGUGAAAUGCGUAGAUAUCAGAAGGAACGCCGGCGGCGAAAGCGGCUCUCUGGCUCGUAACUGACGCUGAGUGUGCGAAAGCUAGGGGAUCAAACGGGAUUAGAUACCCCGGUAGUCCUAGCCGUAAACGAUGGGCACUAAGUAGAGGGGUUUUGAUUAUCUCUCUGCCGGAGCUAACGCAUUAAGUGCCCCGCCUGGGAAGUACGGCCGCAAGGCUAAAACUCAAAAGAAUUGACGGGGGCUCGCACAAGCGGUGGAGCAUGUGGCUUAAUUCGAUGCAACGCGAAGAACCUUACCGGGGUUUGACAUGGUAGAAGUAGGAACCAGAAACGGUAACGAACGGUAUCCAGUCCGUAACUAUCACAGGUGUUGCAUGGCUG
RNAcentral lists this ribosomal RNA (710 nucleotides) under uncultured anaerobic ammonium-oxidizing bacterium. RNAcentral describes it as "bacterial SSU rRNA". It matches the Rfam family "Bacterial small subunit ribosomal RNA", at positions 358 to 1051 of the family's 1533-position model. The record is from RNAcentral.